UCUCUCUCUCGAAUUCUUUCUCCUACAUAUUCUUUUUAUUUUUUUAUUUAUUUUAUUUUAUCCCUAUAAUAAAUAAUAAAGUUAUGCCUUGUUUUAAGUAUUGUAACUCCCAAUCACCGCUACCCUUCCCGAUUGAUCUGAGUCCCAUAACGCAUGUCAAGGCUCUGCCCGACUAAGUUCGUUUGGAUUCUAUCUCGGGACUUCGGGACAAGGUUGAAUUAGGGGUACUAUACUUAACACGAGUGCAUUAUAUUUUUUUUAUAUAGCUCAAAAGUUAUACCCAAAAUUUAUACCAGAAGGUUUUCUAGUUGAACCCUAAAGUUACACAGUGGGUCCAUUCCUUUUUCCCACCAUUUUAUUCUCUUUUUGUGAGUUACCCAAAACUAUUAUUUAUUACUUAUUAUUUCUAUUUUAUAAACAAACUUUCAUCAAAAGUCAUGCCUAUUAUUUACCCAAUAGGGAACCAUAGUUGAGACACCCAAGUAAUCCUGCACAACCCCUAAAAUUUCCAGAACAAUCAGAAUCAGGAUCAGGGCCCCUAAAACUCAGAGGGGGAUAAACCCUAGCCAACGAUUAUCCUCAUAACUAAUUAUAAAAUUCGAAAAUUGAAAAACUGUCGACACAGCAAGCCUACAUGCACGAAGGGCUACUCUAUGAAAGUAGGGUGACCACUCGCGUAGCGCGACGCCUAUAGGGGUACCCCCUCGCGCUACGCGACGGUGUCAAAUUUCGGGUAUAAAUAGAGGGGGUUGGGACUUGAAUUCUGUCUUUGGAACGACGUAAAUCCGAGUUACGUAGAUCAAGUUAUCACAGAAACAGUCCAACACACACACACUAAUAUCGAAUUGUUGUCGCGGAACAGGGUAAUUACUCGAUCGCUAUUACGAUUCAGUUUCCGGGAUCAAUAUACCCAAAGAAUGUCUAAGUGCCGCCCACAUUGGGUUAUGCUUUGUCGUUUGUCGGUAAUCCGAUAAAUGAGUUGAAGCAUUGUACUUUGUCGUUGUCGAUAAUUCGAUAAUGAGUUGAAGUACUAUACUUUGUCGUUUGUCAUUUUGAUAAAUGAGUUGAAGUAUUGCACUUGAUCAUUCAUUGUGAGAAUUUGAUCUCGGGAAAUUAUCGUAACUGCUGUAUUGAGCAUUAACCCGGUUUUUGUGAAAUUCGUUAAGGUUGAUUUAGGUUUUUCACCAAUACGUAUUCCAUUAUGUUAAACCACCAGAAAUACUCCCAACUACACCCUUACAAUCAAAUAAACUAUUAAAUCAUCAGAAGAUCCAGAAUAAUAAAGUGCAUGCUUAAUUAUCGGAAGAAAUAGAAUCAAGAAGUUGUUAACUCAAUCCUGCAUGCUGAUUUGUAAUUACAGUAGAUUGGAGUAAGGAUUGGAUUCGGCACUAAAAGACUUCAAGAAGUGGCUUAUUUUAUUAAUUAAAUCAACUUAAGAAAUAUUGUUUUCAUUAAAAGCUACCUUUGUAAAACAUGGAAUUUAUUCCAUCUAUUUCAAUAAAAAAAAUCCGGUGU
RNAcentral lists this long non-coding RNA (1515 nucleotides) under Helianthus annuus (common sunflower). RNAcentral describes it as "sRNA HanXRQr2_Chr15g0683171". Lineage: Eukaryota; Viridiplantae; Streptophyta; Magnoliopsida; Asterales; Asteraceae. The record is from RNAcentral.